RNAcentral lists this ribosomal RNA (425 nucleotides) under uncultured Methanosaeta sp. RNAcentral describes it as "bacterial SSU rRNA". It matches the Rfam family "Archaeal small subunit ribosomal RNA", at positions 322 to 747 of the family's 1478-position model. Lineage: Archaea; Methanobacteriati; Methanobacteriota; Methanomicrobia; Methanotrichales; Methanotrichaceae. The record is from RNAcentral.
CCUAUGGGGGGCAGCAGGCGCGAAAACUUUACAAUGCUGGCAACAGCGAUAAGGGAACCUCGAGUGCCAGGUUACAAAUCUGGCUGUCGAGAUGCCUAAAAAGCAUUUCAUAGCAAGGGCCGGGCAAGACCGGUGCCAGCCGCCGCGGUAACACCGGCGGCUCGAGUGGUAACCGUUAUUAUUGGGUCUAAAGGGUCUGUAGCCGGCCGGAUAAGUCUCUUGAGAAAUCUGGCAGCUUAACUGUCAGGCUUUCAGGAGAUACUGUCUGGCUCGAGGCCGGGAGAGGUGAGAGGUACUUCAGGGGUAGGGGUGAAAUCUUGUAAUCCUUGAAGGACCACCAGUGGCGAAGGCGUCUCACCAGAACGGACCUGACGGCAAGGGACGAAAGCUAGGGGCACGAACCGGAUUAGAUACCCCCGUAGUCC